Molecule: unclassified non-coding RNA, 426 nt
Filed under: Hevea brasiliensis (rubber tree)
Lineage: Eukaryota; Viridiplantae; Streptophyta; Magnoliopsida; Malpighiales; Euphorbiaceae
Source: RNAcentral
UUUUUUUUUUUUUUUUGGGCUACAGCUACUAUUGAAUUCUUAUGAGGGUAUUUAUGUAACCUCAGCCAGCCUCCUCCUAACACAUUCUCACAGCCACCAAAUAGCAAAAGGCCAUUACUUCAUUGAAAUCAUCCCCAGGUUCGUAAGCUAAAAAGUUCACGUGAAUUUCAAUAGAUUUUACUCAACCUUUUAUGGGUAUGAUGCUUUUGAAAUACAGAGCACAUGCUAAAUAAAAAUGAAAUAUUAGAGAAAAAGCUCUCAAAUGAAGGUCAAUCCCUCAAAGUAGUCAACUUUGAGGUCAAAAAUAAAAACCUGAAACAGUCAAUAUUCCUAAAAAUCCACUAUAUAUUUCUCAUCGAUUUCGUUCAUUGUAGGAAACAAAUGCAAUCAAUGAUAAAAACAAGAAGAAAAUCUAACAAUACAGAC